This 763-nucleotide unclassified non-coding RNA is filed under the name Hevea brasiliensis (rubber tree). Lineage: Eukaryota; Viridiplantae; Streptophyta; Magnoliopsida; Malpighiales; Euphorbiaceae. The record is from RNAcentral.
UUUGGAACUUCCAUAACAUGUUAUCCAUGUAAAUCCCAAAAGGGCCACGUUGAGGAGAAAAAUAAAUAAAAAGAAGGAAUACAUGAGAAACUUAAAUACAAAGUUGCAAUUAACCCUUACAUCAACAGGCAAACUACCUUAAACAACCCUAAAUGUACAUAAUAACAGCAUGAGGAAGAUGAUGAGAUCCCUCCAUGUUUAUUUCAACAGAUGUACGCUCCAUUUUUCUUACAUAUAUGUAUUGUAAAACUUGAUGCUCGGCUGGUGAAAAAGCAAGAGUGCAGCUAUUAAUUAUCGACAUCCCCUGUGCUCCCCAAAAACCCAAUUAAUGGAUUCCUCGCAAUUGGGUAAAAAAAUGGAAUUGCAUUCCAGGAGAAAAUAAUGCUACAGAUGGCAGAUAAAACCACACCUUAGCCCAUGAAACCAAACCGAACCAGCAUUUAUACUAUCAAUGAUGUGUGAGAGGCCUUAUUGCGAAGAAUAUAGAACAAGAAUAAGGAAGUAGCGAAAGAUAUAUAGCAGAAGCUAGAGAGAUGCCUAGUCAUCGCCAUGGAUGUACCAGCAGAGAAGCAUGAUGGCGCAACGGCGUAAGAUAUAGAUACGGGCACGUUGCUCCUUGAUCAAGGAAGCACACUUUUUUGUAAAACCAUGGCCCUUUCUUCUUGAUGAAGAAGAAGAGGCCUUGGUUCCACACUUGUUAUUAUACGGUUGGAGCUUAAGAACAUCAGCCAUGGUGGAUAAGAAAUCUAGGGUUUACUAGAAA